Acinonyx jubatus (cheetah) is the source of this 4043-nucleotide long non-coding RNA. RefSeq lists it as uncharacterized. The transcript is spliced from 3 exons. The record is from RefSeq and is a predicted model, not a curated record. NCBI's taxonomy places the organism in Eukaryota, Metazoa, Chordata, Mammalia, Carnivora, Felidae.
CUCUGUAUUUGUAAGAUGUAGAAUAUCAGAUUGAGAAACAAACUCCUGGUUAUUAUUGGAGUACUCAGUCUCCAUUUUUCUCUUUGCCUUUUCAGUAAGUACCUGGAAAGAACUGUCAACUGCUUUUUCCAGCCUGGCAAACAGUGACAUAAUUGAUUAAAAUCGGUUGAGUAUAACAUCAUGUCCUGAUUGUUUCCUACAGGGAUUAUUAACUAAGGGAAGAGUGCACUUCAGUUUUCUUUCUGACAACUUCCUAGUCCUUCAUAUGGGGAAUGAUGCCCUGGAAGAAUCUCUGGACACCAAUAUCCCCAUAGGACAGGGCUGAAGGAUUUCUAUAUUCAGCCUUUCCUCCAGUAGUUCCUGGUUUGGUGGUUAAGGCUAAAGGGUAGAUUUCUCCAGGAGGAUCUUCCUCUAAACUAGCUGUGUCUCCAUACUGAGCCGACUGAAUAUAUGCUGGAGAAUCUGAUAGCAGAAACACAGAUCUUAUGCCGUCUGGAUUUUGAUGAUAUCUCUACUUUCCUCAGGAAACUUGAAUUGGAUUCUGGCAUUCCAGCCUAAUUUAUAGGCAUUGCUUUUCAGAUGCCUGAAAAGAAUUCAGGUGUCCUUAUUUUCCAGGCUUUGGCUCCAAAAUCAUAGCGAACCAAAGGAACAGACUCAGCUACCGCUGACCAUCACCAUUGCAGUCUGCAGAGACCAGGAGUGGAGAAUUUCUCAGCUUCACCUGGACCACAGUGAAACUGCAGGUCGCCAGCUCUUAAACAGCGCGCGCCAGGCCCCCUCGCUACGCCCCAACGGCCAGAAGGGAGCGCUCGAACUCAACGUAACGACCCAACCGGCAUCUCCCACCAGCGGAACCUGCCAGGGCGUCAAACGCCGGGUCCCGCGGAAACCGCAGCUUCGCAGGCAGCGGGGGGCCCCUCCCGGGAGAGGCGCCGCGGGAAUCCGGGACAGGGUGGGGCCGCGAGGACAGCGAGCAGACCCCUCCCUUGUCGGGCCUGACCGCCGAGGGGGAGCUGAGCCGCACUUCGCACCGAGCCUUUAAUGUUCAUGGUCGGCCCCUGCGUGGAUCCUCUCCUUUGUCGAGCAGUGUUUCAGCCAGAGCGGUUUACAAAGGGCUCAUUUCCUCGGGAUGCGGGGCAGGACUGAAAGUGCACUUCGUGGGGUGACAUUCUUUUCCCACAGUUUGAAAAUAUGAUUUUAUGGCAGGCCAUUAUUUUGAUAAUCUUUUCUUCGGCUGAAAACAGUGAUAACUGUCUUGUUGGCACAUUUUUAGGCUCGGUCUGCAUUUUGACUAAAUCAAAAUUUUCAUCAAGUGCUUCUCUAUGUAUUGAGACAUACACUUCACUAUCAGAGCAGUGACUCCACUCGGCCCUGUAGCGGCAUUGACCCCGACCAUGUGGAUGGCUGUGGAGAGACCUUUGGAAUGUUUGGCCACGUUGGCUUCAGCGGGCUGAAUUGUGGUCCCAGGUGAGCCCAGAACACCCGCAUCCUUGUCACAAAUUGCAGAACCUGCCUGUGGUUCAGGUGCGGUGUAGGUCCUGAAGAAGAUACCCCAUGACUCUACCAAGCAUGCAACGAUCACCAAUUAUUCGCAUUGAGCACACGAUCCUGCACAGUGUCAUCAAGAAUGGCUGUAAGAAAGGACUUACCCAUAAAGGGGUCUGGCAGGCAUUGCUUUUGUGCUCAAAGACACCCUCCCCCUCUACACCACCUGCUCCACGCGCAAGAAAACAUGUGCACACACUUGCCGAGAUGGCACCAAGUUCAGGUCACCUCGUCGGUGUUCUAGGCAGCCACCAGCAGGUGGAGCCUGAGUCAGGUACUGGGGGAGAAGAGCAAGGAAUGGGAGUGGCCUGAUUCGUGGUGAUAGAGACCUUCUCCUUCCUUCCCACCUGUCUGUGUCCCUCCUUUUCACCCACUCAACCCUUGACCCUUCCUCACGCUCUCCUCACUUCGCUACAGGUGCUGUGCGUCUGCCGUCUGCCGUGUGAACAUUCCUGUCACUGAUGACCUGGCGACCCAUUUGCCCUGCUUUGGUGUUGUUGAGCCCGGGCAACGCCUCAGGGGGACCAAAUGGCAGGGAGAAUUGACUUUUGAGUUCAAAGUUUGUUUCAAAACAGAUGGGUCUUGCGGACAAUGCCCACCUCUGAGUAGCACCCGUUGUCGUCUCAGGCCUGAGCACAUCCAUCUCAGCACCUAGUUUGCAGUACUGACCCCCUUCGUUGCUGGGCUGCCUGGUGGGCAGGAGAGGGGGUGACCUGUGUCAUGGCUCACUGUUCAUGUCCCUAAUUUUGCAUCCAGUUCCUUUCCAGUGGCUUAGAGAGUGACAUGCGUGUUACUGGAAGACGUGUCCGUUUCUUUCCCGAACCUGUAAACAGUGUUUUCUCUUUUCCCUCCCGGCUUUGCUGAGCCAAUUUUAUCAGCUGCCCUGCCUGCAGCUACCUCCCCAUCAGGAGGGAAAAGUGGAGAACACAUCCUGCUUUAGCAACCCCAACACGCCCGUGGUCCACGCUUCCCGACAGACCACCACCACCAGCAGCACUUUACCAGAACAGAGCCCCAAGUUCUGCGUCCCCUACUGGCCCCAGGGCACGUCCCGUGGGGGUGGGGGGCCAGCGGUAUGCUUUCACCGAGGCUGAGAAAUGAGUCGCAGUGCCCACUUCUGCAGCUGUCAUCUGGAAGGGAAUGGGAUCUUGGGCGCAGGUGGAAACUGUGCCCCACCAUAGAUUCAUGGUCCUAGAUGUUUCCCCCUCACCCUCUGAACUCAAGGCUUCACUACAGCAAUUUUGAGUUCCACAGGUGGGGUGUAGGAGUUACAGUCCCUGCUCUCCACUGGGGCCAGCUCAACACCUUUGCAAGCGGUUCGUGCUAAACUUGUGUGCAGUCCUAAACUGGCCUCAUCUCUGUCCUGAAUAUUUGGAUGAUACUUGACCCCAGCUUCCUGGAGGGAGCGCUAGAUCUUGACUGCCCUUGUGUUAGUUAGUGACAGGAGAUUUGCCAGGUACCCAGGCAGAUAAUGUAGGAAGAUGAGAAUUGGUGGAUGGUGGAGAGCAAGGCCCAGGGGUGCAGGGCAGGGACUCUCUAUGAACCCAGGCUCUAGAAGGGGUGACUUAUGGGCCCUUGAUCUGUCCUGAGAGCCCACAACCACCUUGGGAGAAGGGAUUGUGCCAUUUACUUGGUGCUGUGGGCGUACAAUCUCACACAAUCUAGCUCUUCUGGGUAUGCUUAACAUGUCCAGGAAAGUGUGUAUAUAAAUCUUGUGCGAUUCCUGUGACCAAAACAAAGCUGUCAACUUUGAACACAUACGUGGAAUCCCAGAGAAUGUCCACCAUGUCUUUAAGGUGAGGUACACAGGGUUAUGGAGAUACAGGUAUUCGAUGUUUCACCUUCUACCCCUCAGAAAAAAUGUUGAGCACACACCUCCAAUGUUUAUUUUUAUUUAUAAUGUAUAUAUUAUAGUUAUAAGAUACUAUGCAUAUUAUAAAGUGUAUGUUUGUAAUAGAGAUUUUAAGAUGGAUAAGAAUCUAUGAUAAAAUAUUUUUUUAAUGUUUAUUUUUGACAGCACAAGCAGGGGAGGGGCAGAGAGAGAGGGAGACACAGAAUCGGAAGCAGUCUCCAGGCUCUGAACUGUCCACACAGAGCCCGAUGCGGGACUUGAACCCAUAAACUGUGAGAUCAUGACCUGAGUCAAAGUCAGAUACUUAAACAACUUAGCCACCGAGGAGUCCCUGUGAUAAAACAUUUUUAAAUUAUAUUUUUAUUAUUAAAGGGACAUCAUGAUUUGUCCUCAAAAAAUACACAUAAUAUGCCCCUAGGACAAUGUGACAAUCUGCAUCAAUAUGCAGGGUAAUUACAGGAAUAUAAUGAUAUUUCAUAGAAUCCAAGUAAAGGUUAAACAGUAAAACUUGAGAAGAGGUAAGAACUACAUAAACUCUAACAACCUCAGAACAUUGUCAUUAAUGUGACUUAGCUCCUAAGUCUAAGGUUCUGGCUUUCUUGAGUCAAUUUUUUUUUCAUUAGAGAGUGCUUUUUUUUUUUAAUUA